AAAUUGAAGAGUUUGAUCAUGGCUCAGAUUGAACGCUGGCGGCAGGCCUAACACAUGCAAGUCGAACGGUAACAGGAAGCAGCUUGCUGCUUCGCUGACGAGUGGCGGACGGGUGAGUAAUGUCUGGGAAACUGCCUGAUGGAGGGGGAUAACUACUGGAAACGGUAGCUAAUACCGCAUAAUGUCGCAGGACCAAAGAGGGGGACCUUCGGGCCUCUUGCCAUCAGAUGUGCCCAGAUGGGAUUAGUUUGUUGGUGAGGUAACGGCUCACCAAGGCGACGAUCCCUAGCUGGUCUGAGAGGAUGACCAGCCACACUGGAACUGAGACACGGUCCAGACUCCUACGGGAGGCAGCAGUGGGGAAUAUUGCACAAUGGGCGCAAGCCUGAUGCAGCCAUGCCGCGUGUAUGAAGAAGGCCUUCGGGUUGUAAAGUACUUUCAGCGGGGAGGAAGGGGAUAAGGCUAAUAACCUUGUUCAUUGACGUUACCCGCAGAAGAAGCACCGGCUAACUCCGUGCCAGCAGCCGCGGUAAUACGGAGGGUGCAAGCGUUAAUCGGAAUUACUGGGCGUAAAGCGCACGCAGGCGGU
Molecule: ribosomal RNA, 589 nt
Filed under: Salmonella enterica
Lineage: Bacteria; Pseudomonadati; Pseudomonadota; Gammaproteobacteria; Enterobacterales; Enterobacteriaceae
Description: bacterial SSU rRNA
Rfam family: Bacterial small subunit ribosomal RNA
Source: RNAcentral